GAGAAUUUAUAACUCGACGAAACAAAUUCGUGUUAUUCACGACUGAUUCCACAACAAUUUACCUCUGCUUGCUCGUUUAAAAUGUUAUUAAAUGCGACUUAGAAACGUACUAGUCACGAUACGAUAUCAAAACGAAGAAGAAUCAGACAAGGACACAUCCGCUCCAAAAUUACAUCGCUCUCAAUGAACACGUCGUUGGCUCCGUUCGUCCAUUUCUCUAACGAUUUCAGGAAUUUUUAGACAAGAGGUUCGCGAUCCGUAUCUUUCAUCGUCAUGCUGCAUCGUGCGUCAUCCGGAUCGCAGCGCAGAAAUGUUUGCUAAUUACGCAAGCAGCCGCGCCACUGGUUUCUAACGCGAGUUUCGAAUGUUUCGACGAGAAUUGGAGUCGGUCCACCGAUUCGUGGGAACCACUCGAAAUUCGAGGUCGUGGAUUUUACGAUUAUCGAUUGUCCAAGAGAUCUAGCGGGACAAAACUUAUGAGAUCCAAUAUUUCGAAAACUAUUAAGUCGUCCACAUACGAAGGUACUGAAAAAAACGUAAUUAGUUGCUGACUGAAAUCAAAAACUGAUUACUUAUUGUUAUUCCAACUAUCCACCGGGAGGAAACGGGACUGACUCUGUAAGUCCAGUUACACGAUCGCGUCAUGUCGUGAUUUCCAUUUACCUUCAUCCCUCUUAAUUCAAAUAAUUGAUUAACAGAGUCAGACAGAGGC
This is a long non-coding RNA of Hylaeus anthracinus, 712 nucleotides long. RefSeq lists it as uncharacterized. The record is from RefSeq and is a predicted model, not a curated record. NCBI's taxonomy places the organism in Eukaryota, Metazoa, Arthropoda, Insecta, Hymenoptera, Colletidae. The transcript is spliced from 4 exons.